UUUCACUGUUAGUCUAGACCUGGGGCCUGUUGCACAAAAGUAGAAUUAAGACAUCCGGGAUAAAUUACUCAGCUGAGCUCAAUGAAGCCAAAACAUGUGCGUCCAGGCUUAAUUGGUUGCACAAAGACCAAGCCAGGAUGAGCAGACACGGAUUCAUUAAGCCAGGUGAAACCAAUCCUGGAUAGGUACGUGCUCACGGCUCACUCAAAUAGACCCCGCCACAGAUCACAGAUUAACUGAUUUACCAUGGCAACUAGAGCCGCGUACUUUUCCCCGUCGGAAGCACAAAUCCUCAUGGAGGCAUACGAGGAGGUAAAAGAUAUAAUUAAGAAGAAAGGCAACACCGCCACAGUGAUAAAGCAAAGAGAAAAAGCGUGGCAAAGUAUUGCAGACCGCCUGAAUGCGUAAGUAGUGCACAAUUACACACUCACCGCUCCGCUGAAACAUCACAAUUACAAUUCAAAUAUUUAAUUCACAUCUCCAAAAAUGCAGUUGUACUGUAAUUAUGAAACGGUUAAAUUUUUAAUUGAAAUGCACUGCAGAUAUGAGUGAAAUUGUGUAAAGUAACUCCAUCACACUGUAUAAAGCUAUGAUAAAUUUUUUGAUAUUUUUACUGAAAACAAGACAAAAAUACCAAGUAAUUUUUUGCAGUGUGACUCCAUUAAAUGUGUGUGUGUGUGUGUGUGUGUGUGUAGAUUAAACAUGAACGGGCCAAAACGGACAUGGCAGCAGGUCAAAAUCAAAUACAAGAACAUUCUGCAGAAUGCAGUGAAAAAGAAUACCCACAGACAAGGCACGGGUGGUGGGUCACCAAAGGCUGACCUUACCCCAGCAGAGGACAUGGCCUUGGAGCUAAAUAAAGGCAGGCCCGUCUUAGAGGGGAUCCCUGGGGGGAAAGAGACGAGCAUAGGUUCCUCCCAAGAUGCCACCCGCUUCAUUCAAGUGCCUGGCAGCACUGUGUUCCUGUUAGAGCCACCAGCACAAGCACCAGACGAUGCUGAUCCAGUGAGUACUCCAUCAAAGGCAUACUGUAGGCCUGGCAUGUCUUGUCUACUAGCUUCAAUAUGAAUCCGAUUAAAUGUGAUAGGGUGAAGGCCCCAGUGCAGCAGCAACAGCACAUGAUGGAGACGAUGAUGAGGAGGAGACCAUCUCUCUGGAUUCCAGAAGGCAUGAGGUAUCAUGUUAAGACUGUGAAAGUACUAUUUACUCUACAAUGGUGAGGAGUCCUCAUCAAAAUCAAAAAUCUAAUUUCUUUUACAGGACCCAGAUGCUAUACAGUGGGAAAACCAGCCUGGCAACAUAGUGCGUAUUAAUAAAAGGACACCACAUCCUGCCAAAUUCCAGCUGCGCUAAUUGUAUUGUGUUCACAGAGCUCACAAGCUAUCAGAAAGUUGUAUGGCAACCACCUCCGGCGCCAAAUAGAACUGGCAGACAUAGACAUUCAGUACAAGAAGAAAAAGAUGGAAAAUCUUGCACUGGAGUCCGAAAUAAAAAGAGGACAAUUAGGAAACUGGACCUUGAAAUAAAAAACUUGAGAGGGAGCUCCAAGAAGAUGACACAGCUCAAAAUAAAAAUUAGGUAUAUUCUCGUAAAGUCAAGUGAGCCAUGACAUAUGAGCUCUUAUUGUGAGCACACAGGACGGUGGCAUCUUUCUAAGGUUUUUUUUUAUUUUCCCAGCAAUCAGUACAACCAAGUCAUCGUUAUAAGGCAUCGCCCUCUUUUGCCCACCCCCCAGCACCAGGUGUGGCCACUAGCCUAUAUGAAGGCCCAAAAUUGUGUGUUCCUUUCUGCUCUGACAAUGGCAUGCCCAUUCGUGCGAGAUGUGGUGGAUGAAGAAGCACUUGUGCUGAGGAGAGCCUUCAGGCGAGAAAGGGUCUUCAGGGACCGGUUGGACCCACUGGCCUUCCCUGAUGACCAUCUAUAUGAAAGAUACAGGUUUUCUGCAGAUGGCAUCAGGUAUCUAUGCAGACUACUGGGUCCCAGGAUUAAGCACCGCACUGCACGGAGCCAUGCACUGAGUGUGGAGCAAAUGGUUUGUGUGGCCUUGCGCUUUUUUGCUAGUGGAGCCUUCCUGUACUCAGUGGGGGAUGCAGAACAGCUGAACAAGGCCACAAUUUGCCGCACAAUAAGGAGUGUGUGUCUGGCUAUCAAAGCAUUAGCAGAUGUCUUCAUCUCCUUCCCUGGCCACAGAAGACUCUGUGACAUCAAAGAGGAGUUCUAUAGGAUUGCAGAUGGUCUGCAAUGCUGACUGUGUGAUCAGCAAUGUUGUGGCAAAAUGGCCUGGCUCAGUCCAUGACUCCAGAAUCUUUCGGGCCUCUGAAAUCUAUCAG
Oncorhynchus nerka (sockeye salmon) is the source of this 2330-nucleotide long non-coding RNA. RefSeq lists it as uncharacterized. The transcript is spliced from 5 exons. NCBI's taxonomy places the organism in Eukaryota, Metazoa, Chordata, Actinopteri, Salmoniformes, Salmonidae. The record is from RefSeq and is a predicted model, not a curated record.